This 4066-nucleotide long non-coding RNA is filed under the name Homo sapiens (human). Its description in RNAcentral is "HSALNT0352496". The record is from RNAcentral. Lineage: Eukaryota; Metazoa; Chordata; Mammalia; Primates; Hominidae.
GUGAAACACUAUCUCCUUAAUACUGUCUGCGUGAUAGUGAGUUCUCUUGAUGAUUAUGGAGCUUAAAGAUUGAGUGAAUAUUGUCCUGCUGGGGUUUGGACUGACAUUUUUGUCAUUUUUCUGGGGAAUUUCUUCCCUUUGGAUUGAGAAACCUUACUUAAUGCUUGUACUAUCAUUGUAUCUUGAAAGAAAAGAAAUGCCUUUUGAACUCAGGGACUGAUAGGCCGAAGGGACUGUAGCCUUGUCUCAGAUGAGACUUUGAAUUUUUUAUAUUUGGAAUGAGUUAAGAAUUUUGGAAACUUUUGAACAUGCAUGACUGUGUUUUGCUGUGUGAGAAGGACAUGAGGUUCUGGGGUAUCUGGGUCAAAUAAUAUGGAUUGACUGUGUGUCCAUAUAAAACUCAUAUGGAAUUGUAAUCCUUAAUUUUGGGGCCUGGUGGUAGGCGAUUUAAUCUUGAAUGGGAGGGGGUUCGGGGUGGUAGGAAAAGGAGGGGUAGGGUGGGGAGGAGUAGGUUGUCAGUAGGGUGGUAGGAGGAUGGGGGGUAGUAGGAAGGGGGAGUAGCCUUCUGCAGAGGCAGAGGCUCAUGGAAAACCUCUACUAGGGCAGUGCACCUGUGGCUUUGCAGGCUUUAGCCCCAUGGCUGCUCUCAUGGGCUGGGCUGGUGUUGAGUGCCUGUAGCUUUUCCAUACUGAGGGUGUGAGCUGUUGGUGGGCCUAUGAAUCCGGGAUCUGGAGGAUGGUGGCCUCCUUUUUGGGGGCUCCAAGCCCAUAUUUUCCUUCUGCACUGCCAUAGUGGAAGUUUCUCAAGAGGCUUGGCCUCUGCAGGAGGCUUCUGCCUGGAAACAGUGGGCGGUGGUGUGGGUGCAGGAUCUUCUUGAUGCUGAUCUCCUGAUAGUGAGACCUCAUGUGAUCUGGUUGUCUAACAGGGUGUGGUACCUCUUUCCUCUCUCUGUCUUGCUCCUACCCCUGCCAUAUGAAACAUCUCAUUGCCACUUGGCCUUCUGGUAUGAUUAGGAAGGGCCUGGUCAGUGUGGGCCUGGUCAGUGAACUAGUCAGUUGGGACUUGGUCAGUGAGGCCUAUUUACUGGGGGAAUGGUCAGCCAGGGUCUGCUUAGAGAGGGUCUCAUUAGAGGGAUCGAGUAGUGCAGGUCUUGGUGAGUGGGGACCUAGUGGCAGACAAAUGUUUGGUGUCUGGUCAGUGCAAACCUGGGCUGCAGGGCUUGGUGAGUGGAGACCUGGUCAGCUGUGGCUUAGUGGUAGCCUUGUCAGAAUGGGCUGGGUCACUGGUGACCCGGUCAAGGGGUGCUAUUCAGUGGAGGCCUGGUCACAUGGCACCUAGUCAGCAGGGCAUGUCCUCAUCAGUGAGACCCUUGUCAGUGGGACCCUGGUCAUGGCAGCCUGGUCAGGUCAGUGGAACCUAAUCAGUGGGGGCCUGGUCAGAGAGGACUUGAUCAGUGGUGGCUUUUGUAGCACUGGUCUAUGGGGUGACCUGGUCAACGGGGGUCUGAGCGGUACAUGCCUGUUCAGUGGUGCCUAGUCACUAGGUUCCUGGUCGGGGCAUCUGGUCACCUCAGGCCUGGUUAGUAGGGACCUGGUCACUGGCAGCCUGUUCCCUGGAGACCUGGUCAGUGGGGCUUCAUCUGUGGGGCCAGGCAAUGGGGUCAUGAUUGGUGGAAUGUGGUCAGGGAGGUCUUGUCAGUGAGGCCCUGGUCAGUGAGGCCUUGUCAGUGAGGUCCUUGUCAGUGGGGUCCUGGACACUGUGGGCCUGGCAGCGGGAAUCUAGUUAGUGGGGCCUGGUGAUGGGGGCCUAAUCAGUGAGAGUGUGGUCAGGGAGGACCUGAUGUGCGGGAUCUGGUCAGCAGGGACCUGGUCAGUGGGGCUGCUGAGCACUGCUGGGAGGUGUCAGGGGAAAUGCAUGUUAUCAGGGGCCCUAUGGACAGCUGGGAUGGCCCAGUGGUGUCCAAUGGCCCAGUCAAAAGUGGACAAAGCAGGUGUUUGGAUGGACCUGGGAGAUCUUGCUCAGAGAUUCUGAAAGAACAAAGCAAAAAUAUCAGAUCGGCUGCACAGAAAAAUGGCUCAAAGUGCUUAAUGACCAGAAGAAAUCUGGGAGUAGCAAGAAGGUAAUGUGGAGAGGGGAGGACCUCCAUGACUGGUGUCUGCAGAGCCAGGGGUACAGGGACCCAGUGCAGUGACCUGGCACCACCUGCCUCUCAGAGGGUGGGUAGCACACUGUCCUUACCUGGGGGACAGCAGGCCUGGUCACCGGCUUUUCUCCCUGUCCCUGCAAGCAUCACAUUGCUGGAAGAGAAUCUCAUGCCAGAGCUUGGACCAUCCCUAGCUUGGGGGUUAGGGGUUGUCUCUUGGUGACCUAAAUGAAAAAAUAGGUCCAGAUCAGAGUUCGUGAUGCAUAGCACUCACCCACUCUUUGAAUCAUGGGAGGGGAGGCCUAGUCCUAGGUAAACCUAAACUCUUUGAGGAACCACAGAGCCCAAGGCUGGAAACCUCCAGAAUCCUCCAGCCCCUGAUCCCCCCCCCCCCCGGGGACCUCUGUGGCCUGUCUCACCAGAGCACUCUUCUGUCUGUAGAGGUCUCAGGUGCUCUACAAGGGAGUCCCAUUUCAGGUGUGGGGCUGGGUAUGGUCACUCCUGCUGGAUGUCUAGAAGGUGAAAACCAAGGACCUAGGAAAAUACCAGAUACAGCCUUUCCACCGUCAUCCAGAGCAGGACAAACACGCCAGGUGGUGUCAGGAGCCCAGGUCUCCAGCUGGAGGGAAUGUCAACCCUGCAGUGGGAGCCCAUCAUGCAUCCUAGGCACAGAUGCUAACGUAGGCACCGCAGGUAAGCUGGGUUUGGUACCCCUUCCUGGCUUCAGAAAGAAGCCAAACAAGGAGCUUUCUGCAGAAUGAAACCUCUUUUCCAUCCAGAAGCACUGCUGACUGUUUGGUGGUUGCUGUUAGGGCAGUGAGCCUUUUGUCCAUUCUGAGAUUAGGCUGGUUUCUCCUCUUGGCCCUGGCCUACAGACCAUAAAGGAAAACAGCAAGAGGUCCCCAGCAAACAUCUACAGAUGGCCCUGGACAUCAGCCACAUUCAGAGAAACGUGUCAUGUUCUGGGAGGGCUAAGGCAUCGAGUAAGGCCUAUGGGGCUGGAGGAUCACAGGGCAGGUGGGGCAAUCCAGAGCUGUGGGGGCUUCCAUGGGAAUUGGGAGGUCCCAAGGCAGAGGUAGGGGUUCCACAGGAGGAGUCACAGAGCCACCAAGGGCUCUCCUGGCCCAGGGAGCAGUCAACACCAUGGACUGAACACCCACUGGGCUAAGCCCUGGGCCAGGCUGGGGCAUGUGGGGCCAGGAGGCAGCUCAGAGUGGGAGACAGAGACAAGUGUGCUCAGAGGGCACCCAUAUCUGCAUAUAACGUGGUCCUGAAUUUCUGGCUGGGAAGUGCUUCCAGGGUUUCAUAUGUGUUAUGGAGAUGCUUCCUCUCUCCAACCUCACCGUGCAGGAAUCCCAGUGAAUAUAUUGCCACCAUCUUGGAGCUCAGUGCCCUCAUAGUGUAACAGCACCAGCAGAUCUGCCUGUGCACAGACUUCCUGUACUACCUCACUCCUGAGGGGAGAUGCUUCUGCAGGGCCUGCGACCUGGUGCACAACUUUAGACACCAUCAUCCUGGAGCGGCACUGCACCCUCACUAGCCAGGGUGUUGAUGACUUCCUCAAUGCCAAGGCCACGUUCAAGAUUUUCGACUUCAGUGAUGCGUUUGUGCUGAGCAAGCCGUUUUGCACACCCUGGUCAGAAUGAAACAUUCCUUGGGAACUCGGGCCGUGAGAAGCAUCCUUCCUGAUCACCUGACUGUAGAAACAUCCUUAUCGCACCCUCCCGGGCAAAGGCCCAACAGCCUGACUGCAGGAACAUCCUUGCCAUAUCCUGCCGGGCAGCAAGCUCUACCGCCCACACCCCUCCUUCCCAGUCCCAUGAUCACCCCAGCCUGUGAGAGGCAGUUGGUGCUGGCAGUAAGCUGGUUUCCUCCUCUGCAGGGUUUUGCUAGUAAUAAAGGUGUUGCUGUUGAAGCCGUCAA